RNAcentral lists this ribosomal RNA (468 nucleotides) under uncultured bacterium. RNAcentral describes it as "partial 16S ribosomal RNA". It matches the Rfam family "Bacterial small subunit ribosomal RNA", at positions 28 to 507 of the family's 1533-position model. The record is from RNAcentral.
GACGAACGCUGGCGGCGUGCUUAACACAUGCAAGUCGAACGGAAAGGCCCUGCUUUUGUGGGUUGCUCGAGUGGCGAACGGGUGAGUAACACGUGAGUAACCUGCCCUUGACUUUGGGAUAACUUCAGGAAACUGGGGCUAAUACCGGAUAGGAGCUCCUGCUGCAUGGUGGGGGUUGGAAAGUUUCGGCGGUUGGGGAUGGACUCGCGGCUUAUCCGCUUGUUGGUGGGGUAGUGGCUUACCAAGGCUUUGACGGGUAGCCGGCCUGAGAGGGUGACCGGCCACAUUGGGACUGAGAUACGGCCCAGACUCCUACGGGAGGCAGCAGUGGGGAAUAUUGCACAAUGGGCGGAAGCCUGAUGCAGCAACGCCGCGUGCGGGAUGACGGCCUUCGGGUUGUAAACCGCUUUCGCCUGUGACGAAGCGUGAGUGACGGUAAUGGGUAAAGAAGCACCGGCUAACUACGUG